ACGACGCUGGCGGCGUGCCUAACACAUGCAAGUCGAAUGGAGAAUCAGAUGAAGCUUGCGAUUCUGAUUCUUAGUGGCGGACGGGUGAGUAACGCGUGGGUAAUCUGCCCUUGAGCGGGGGAUAACAGUCGGAAACGACUGCUAAUACCGCAUACACUACCGGGUACACAUGUAACUGGUAGCAAAGGUGGCCUCUGAACAUGCUACCGCUUAAGGAUGAGCCCGCGUCUGAUUAGCUAGUAGGUGGGGUAACGGCCUACCUAGGCGACGAUCAGUAGCCGGCCUGAGAGGGUGUACGGCCACACUGGAACUGAGACACGGUCCAGACUCCUACGGGAGGCAGCAGUGGGGAAUAUUGCGCAAUGGGGGAAACCCUGACGCAGCGACGCCGCGUGAGCGAUGAAGGCCUUCGGGUUGUAAAGCUCUGUUCUAAGGGACGAAGUCCCUGUUUGUGAAUAAUAGAGCAGGGGUGACGGUACCUAAGGAGAAAGCCCCGGCUAACUACGUG
This 508-nucleotide ribosomal RNA is filed under the name uncultured bacterium. RNAcentral describes it as "bacterial SSU rRNA". It matches the Rfam family "Bacterial small subunit ribosomal RNA", at positions 33 to 507 of the family's 1533-position model. The record is from RNAcentral.